This 205-nucleotide ribosomal RNA is filed under the name uncultured bacterium. RNAcentral describes it as "partial 16S ribosomal RNA". It matches the Rfam family "Bacterial small subunit ribosomal RNA", at positions 524 to 729 of the family's 1533-position model. The record is from RNAcentral.
UACGUAGGGGGCAAGCGUUGUUCGGAAUUACUGGGCGUAAAGGGCGCGUAGGCGGCACGGCAAGUCAGGAGUGCAAAGCCCUGGGCUCAACCCGGGAACUGCUUUGAACUGCCGAGCUAGAGUGCGGAAGGGGCAACUGGAAUUCCCAGUGUAGCGGUGAAAUGCGUAGAUAUUGGGAAGAACACCUGAGGCGAAGGCGGGUUGC